AGUGGAUGGGGAGCAACCUAGUUGUGAGUGCGGAAAGGUAGUGCCAAGAAAAGCUGUCAGAAUGAUGAGAAUUGAGUCCCGGUACCCGAAACCGACACAGGUAGGCAAGUAGAGAAUACUAAGGGGCGCGAGGUAACUCUCUCCAAGGAACUCGGCAAAAUGACCCCGUAACUUAGGGAGAAGGGGUGCCACCGAGAGGUGGUCGCAGUGAAGAGGCCCAGGCGACUGUUUAGCAAAAACAUAGGUCUCUGCAAACUCGAAAGAGGAAGUAUAGGGGCUGACGCCUGCCCAGUGCCGGAAGGUUAAAGAAGUUGGUCAGGAGAAAUCUGAAGCUGGCGACUGAAGCCCCGGUGAACGGCGGCCGUAACUAUAACGGUCCUAAGGUAGCGAAAUUCCUUGUCGGGUAAGUUCCGACCCGCACGAAAGGCGUAACGAUCUGGGCGCUGUCUCGGAGAGAGGCUCGGCGAAAUAGGAUUGUCUGUGAAGAUACGGACUACCUGCAUUUGGACAGAAAGACCCUAUGAAGCUUUACUGUAGCUUGAAAUUGUGUUCGGGCUUCCUGUGCGCAGGAUAGGUGGGAGGCUAGGAAGGUCUGCUUGUGGGCAGAUUGGAGCCAACCGUGAGAUACCACUCUCAGGAGGCUAGAAUUCUAACUUAAUUAAGGACAGUUUCAGGUGGGCAGUUUGACUGGGGCGGUCGCCUCCAAAAAGGUAACGGAGGCGUACAAAGGUUCCCUCACACUGGUUGGAAAUCAGUGGCAGAGUGCAAAGGCAGAAGGGAGCUUGACUGCGAGACGGACAAGUCGAGCAGGGUGGAAACACGGUCUUAGUGAUCCGACGGUGCUGUGUGGAAGGGCCGUCGCUCAACGGAUAAAAGUUACUCUAGGAUAACAGGCUGAUCUCCCCCAAGAGUUCACAUCGACGGGGAGGCUUGGCACCUCGAUGUCGGCUCAUCGCAACCUGGGGCGGAAGUACGUCCCAAGGGUUGGGCUGUUCGCCCAUUAAAGCGGUACGUGAGCUGGGUUCAGAACGUCGUGAGACAGCUCGGUCCAUAUCCGAUGUAGGCGUGAGAAUAUUGAGAGGAGCCUUCCUUAGUACGAGAGGACCGGGAAGGACGCACCGCUGGUGUACCUGUUAUGAUGCCAAUCGUAAACGCAGGGUAGCCAAGUGCGGAGAGGAUAACCGCUGAAGGCAUCUAAGUGGGAAGCCCACCUCAAGAUGAGUAUUCUGGUGUAAGGUCACGGGGAGACGACCCGUAGAUAGGCACGAGGUGGAAGUGCAGAGAUGUAUGAAGCCGAAGUGUACUAAUAGACCGUCGGCUUGACC
RNAcentral lists this ribosomal RNA (1325 nucleotides) under metagenome. RNAcentral's name for it is "bacterial LSU rRNA". It matches the Rfam family "Bacterial large subunit ribosomal RNA", at positions 1561 to 2925 of the family's 2925-position model. The record is from RNAcentral.